RNAcentral lists this ribosomal RNA (253 nucleotides) under uncultured bacterium. RNAcentral describes it as "partial 16S ribosomal RNA". It matches the Rfam family "Bacterial small subunit ribosomal RNA", at positions 524 to 776 of the family's 1533-position model. The record is from RNAcentral.
UACGGGGGGAGCAAGCGUUGUUCGGAUUUACUGGGCGUAAAGGGCGCGUAGGCGGCUGUUCAAGUCGGGGGUGAAAUCCCGUGGCUCAACCACGGAAUGGCCUUCGAUACUGGACGGCUAGAGACCGGAAGAGGUGAGUGGAACUGCGAGUGUAGAGGUGAAAUUCGUAGAUAUUCGCAAGAACACCAGUGGCGAAGGCGGCUCACUGGCUCGUAUCUGACGCUCAGGCGCGACAGCGUGGGGAUCAAACAGG